CUAGCCCUAAACGAUGAAUACUUGGUAAUAGGGAGUACAUACUCUUUAUCGCCGAAGCUAACGCAUUAAGUAUUCCACCUGGGGACUACGGCCGCAAGGUUGAAACUCAAAGGAAUUGACGGGGGCCCGCACAAGCAGCGAGGCAUGUGGUUUAAUUCGAUGCUACACGAAGAACCUUACCUGGGCUUGAUAUGUAGUGGAAAGCGGUAUGAAAGUACUGCCCUUGUUGUAGCAAUACAACAACCGCUAUGCAGGUGG
Molecule: ribosomal RNA, 258 nt
Filed under: uncultured bacterium
Lineage: Bacteria
Description: partial 16S ribosomal RNA
Rfam family: Bacterial small subunit ribosomal RNA
Source: RNAcentral